Molecule: transfer RNA, 76 nt
Filed under: Paracoccus denitrificans
Lineage: Bacteria; Pseudomonadati; Pseudomonadota; Alphaproteobacteria; Rhodobacterales; Paracoccaceae
Also listed under: 19 other names
Description: tRNA-Thr
Rfam family: tRNA
About the family: Transfer RNA (tRNA) molecules are approximately 80 nucleotides in length. Their secondary structure includes four short double-helical elements and three loops (D, anti-codon, and T loops). Further hydrogen bonds mediate the characteristic L-shaped molecular structure. tRNAs have two regions of fundamental functional importance: the anti-codon, which is responsible for specific mRNA codon recognition, and the 3' end, to which the tRNAs corresponding amino acid is attached (by aminoacyl-tRNA synthetases). tRNAs cope with the degeneracy of the genetic code in two manners: having more than one tRNA (with a specific anti-codon) for a particular amino acid; and 'wobble' base-pairing, i.e. permitting non-standard base-pairing at the 3rd anti-codon position.
Source: RNAcentral
GCCGGUUUAGCUCAGCUGGUAGAGCAGCUGAUUUGUAAUCAGAAGGUCGCGGGUUCGAUUCCUGCAACCGGCACCA